RNAcentral lists this ribosomal RNA (468 nucleotides) under uncultured bacterium. RNAcentral's name for it is "partial 16S ribosomal RNA". It matches the Rfam family "Bacterial small subunit ribosomal RNA", at positions 28 to 507 of the family's 1533-position model. The record is from RNAcentral.
GACGAACGCUGGCGGCGUGCUUAACACAUGCAAGUCGAACGGAAAGGCCCUGCUUUUGUGGGGUGCUCGAGUGGCGAACGGGUGCGUAACACGUGAGUAACCUGCCCUUGACUUUGGGAUAACUUCAGGAAACUGGGGCUAAUACCGGAUAGGAGCUCCUGCUGCAUGGUGGGCGUUGGAUAGUCUCGGCGGUUGGGGAUGGACUCGCGGCUUAUCAGCUUGUUGGUGGGGUAGUGGCUUACCAAGGCUUUGACGGGUAGCCGGCCUGAGAGGGUGACCGGCGACAAUGGGACUGAGAUACGGCGCAGACUCCUACGGGAGGCAGCAGGGGGGAAUAUUGCACAACGGGCGGAAGUCGGAUGCAGCAACGUCGCGGGUGGAAUGACGUCCUGUGGGGUGUAAAACGCUGUCGCCUGAUACGAAGCGUGAGUGACGGUAAUGGAUAAAUAAGCACCGGCUAACUACGUG